This is a small nuclear RNA of Fukomys damarensis (Damara mole-rat), 109 nucleotides long. NCBI's taxonomy places the organism in Eukaryota, Metazoa, Chordata, Mammalia, Rodentia, Bathyergidae. The record is from Ensembl.
GUGCUUGCUGCGUCAUCAGUACAUAUACUAAAAUUGGAAUCAUACAGAGAAGAUUAGUACAGCCCUAUAUAAGAAUGACACGUAACUUCGUGGGGUGUUUCAUAUUUUU